AACGCACAUUGCGCCUCUUGGUAAUCCUUGAGGCAUACCUGUUCGAGCGCCGUUUGUGUCUUAAGGCAUUGCCUUGCGUUGAUGGAAUUUUUCUGAAACGAAAAACCAUCCAAACACAUGGGCGCCAAUCUCCUGGUCCAAAUCGCAGCGAAGAUGCGUUGAGGAUUGGAGAGAGGUAGCCAGUAUUUUUUUUAGAAAAAAUUAAAAAACAUGGCCUCGGAUCAGGUAGGGAUACCCGCUGAACUUAA
This 248-nucleotide unclassified non-coding RNA is filed under the name uncultured fungus. RNAcentral describes it as "partial contains 5.8S ribosomal RNA, internal transcribed spacer 2, and large subunit ribosomal RNA". The record is from RNAcentral. Lineage: Eukaryota; Fungi.